Molecule: long non-coding RNA, 332 nt
Filed under: Chrysemys picta bellii (western painted turtle)
Lineage: Eukaryota; Metazoa; Chordata; Testudines; Emydidae
Description: lncRNA (ENSCPBG00000016341.1)
Source: RNAcentral
CCUUCCCCAGGAGCUGGUACCUGCUCCUGUCUUGAGCACAAGAAAGCACCAGCAUCAAUAGAGAAAAUGUGACCUGAAGCUAGGGAUUCAACAGGCUGAGCUUAUAAGGGCCAUGGGAUGUGUAUAUAUGCUUGUCCUGAGGCAAGAUUGAAAUAUUGCCCCCUGUUCUGCCAAGCCUAUUCAACCCAAGCACAGUAAAUCCUGAGCCCGAAUAGUAGUUCCAAAUGCUGGGUUCACUAAGGGUCCACAGGAUAAAAGCCUGGGAAUAUAAAACUACAUUUCCUUGGAGAUGCAGCGCAAAGAAAAGAAAAGACUCCUUUGAUUGUUCAACC